RNAcentral lists this small RNA (30 nucleotides) under Bombyx mori (domestic silkworm). RNAcentral's name for it is "ovarian small RNA-34908". Lineage: Eukaryota; Metazoa; Arthropoda; Insecta; Lepidoptera; Bombycidae. The record is from RNAcentral.
UGGCGUCGGCGAACGCACGCAUGCGGUCUU